CAGCUGCCGAAGAACAAGGUCCCCAACAUGGCUGUGGUACUAAAGAGCAUCCUCCACACACACGCUGAUGCCAAGGCUGUGUUCGGGGAUCCCACAGGAGAGAUGCAGGGCACAGUGCACCGGCGCCUCCUAGAGGACAGACUAGGGGAGCUCAAGACAGGUGGGUGUGUUCUCUCCGUCCCAUCGUAACCACUACCUGAACGUGACGCCCAACAACCUCCUAAGGAUCUACCCCCC
Molecule: long non-coding RNA, 237 nt
Organism: Coregonus clupeaformis (lake whitefish)
Lineage: Eukaryota; Metazoa; Chordata; Actinopteri; Salmoniformes; Salmonidae
Exons: 3
Source: RefSeq, a predicted model, not a curated record